This 475-nucleotide ribosomal RNA is filed under the name uncultured organism. Its description in RNAcentral is "partial 16S ribosomal RNA". It matches the Rfam family "Bacterial small subunit ribosomal RNA", at positions 334 to 800 of the family's 1533-position model. The record is from RNAcentral.
CACUCCUCCGGGAGGCAGCAGUGGGGAAUAUUGCACAAUGGGCGCAAGCCUGAUGCAGCCAUGCCGCGUGUAUGAAGAAGGCCUUCGGGUUGUAAAGUACUUUCAGCGGGGAGGAAGGUGUUGAGGUUAAUAACCUCAGCAAUUGACGUUACCCGCAGAAGAAGCACCGGCUAACUCCGUGCCAGCAGCCGCGGUAAUACGGAGGGUGCAAGCGUUAAUCGGAAUUACUGGGCGUAAAGCGCACGCAGGCGGUCUGUCAAGUCGGAUGUGAAAUCCCCGGGCUCAACCUGGGAACUGCGUUCGAAACUGGCAGGCUAGAGUCUUGUAGAGGGGGGUAGAAUUCCAGGUGUAGCGGUGAAAUGCGUAGAGAUCUGGAGGAAUACCGGUGGCGAAGGCGGCCCCCUGGACAAAGACUGACGCUCAGGUGCGAAAGCGUGGGGAGCAAACAGGAUUAGAAACCCGUGUAGUCCCAUGA